GAGUUGAGAGCAUUUAUGGAUGACAGAGAAUUAGUUACAAUUAAAAUGUCAAUCUUUGGUACAUAGAUGCAUUUCAGUACAAGGAGUAUGGCAAACAGUUGUGUCUGAAGGCUAGAGGCCCAAUUAUCGAUGUGUGCUUCAAUUUCUUUAAGAGAGCCAUCACUCUGUACGACAACAGCAGCACUACGAGCUGCACCAGUGGAUUGGUGAACAUAACCAUGAGCGUAAAUUAUUUGCGAGUGUGUGCUGUGACUAAAUUAUCAAUACAGCUUAAGGCCUCGUGUUUGAUUUGAAGGCGAAGUUUGUUAUGAUUUAAGUAGUAGUUUGGGGGGAAAUGGAGGAAUAAUAGUUUGGAAUGAGGUAAUAUUUCCUGGAGCGGAGAAGUGCCGCUGUUGCCUUACUUGACAUAGAUCAUGUAUGUGAUUCAUGUGGAGAGAAUUGAUUUUAUAAUUUGACACUAUUUAUUGACGGUGGUUAUUUUUGUUAUUGGUGAAGUUUGAAGGGCUUGGGAGUUAAAGCGACUGACGCUAUAAUUGCUAGUGAGUAUUUUGUUGUUAAUCAGUUUGAAUGUUAAUAUUUUUUAUAUAAUUUGAGUAUAUUUGUGCAAAUUAUAAGAAGUUUUUGAUUUUUUUAUUUUUUUUUUAUUUUUUUGUUACACGUUGAUGGAAGUUGGAGGUGGUGGUGUGUAAAGAUGAGUAAUGUUUGAUUAUGUAUAUUUUGUAUUUAAAUUUAUUUGUCAUGUAGAGAGAUGAUUUACUAAUUAUUUAAAUUUUUUUUUUUUUUUCGGGUUGAAGUGAGUUGACGGUUGAGUGUGGUUGGCGGAUUUUGGCCGAGGCGGCUAUUGUAGAAUGGUUUUUAUGGUUAAUAUUGUUGGUGAUGAAUUGGCGGCCAAGUGUGAGUGACGGAGUUUUAUUAUAGGAAGUAAGCGUGGACUGCUGCUGCUGCUGGUGGUGGUGGUGGUUAUGCUGCUAAUGCUGUGUAUUAAGAUAAGUAAUAUUUUCUGUUUGUGUAAACUGUUUGUUUGAGAGUUAUAGGGAGAAUAAUGUUUCUGGGUUGAAGAUAGUUUUUAUUUGAGGAUACAAAAAUUACUUUGAGUGUAUUAAGGCUUGAAACGGGGAGCAAAUAAUGAAGGUCGCAUCCCAGACUUGUCAUUGUUAGUUUUAGAAAAAGUGUAUAUAUAAUGUGGGAGUUGUGUAUACAUUUGUGGUGUUUGAAGUCUUAAUAUGCGUAGUGGAGUUUUUUUUUUUUUUUUUUUUUUUUUUUUUAUAAUGGUGGGUAUGGAUGUAUUUUAUAAAUAUGAAUUUAUUUUAUUUUUUAAAUGUGGUAGUAAUAAAAUGAGUACUGAUUUUAAGUAAGUUUGAGAUGUUGGAUGGGGGAAGUGUGAAUGUAUUUAAAUUAUUUUAUUUGAUAUGUUUAGUAAGAAAUUUAAUUAGUAUUUCAGGUUGGUGAAGGUGAUGAAUUUACAUCUAACUAACUAACUGACAGACUGACUGAGUGGUUGACUGAUUUUUACUAGUGGUGUGUAUUUGGUAUGCCUUUUUUUUUUAUUUUAGAAUUGACAAUGUUUGAAGAAAUGAUGUGAAAUGUUUGUAGGUAUUUUUUUAAAUUGUUUAAUAUAAUAGACUAAUUGAAAUAUUUUAUUGCAGAUUUUUGUUGUGCCGAGGUGUUGAUGGGAAGACUGAGUAAAUGUUGUUAUUGGUGCUGUUAUUUAAGAUGAGUAAAAUUAUUUAUUGUUGUAAUAAGUAUUAUUAAAGAUUAACUAGUUAUGUGUUGAGAAGAUUUAUUUGAAGAUAAUUUUUGGUUGAACAAUAAAUUUAGUUUAAAGUGUAUUAAAACCUGAAACACGGACUAAAUAAUGAGGGUCACAUCCUAGACUUGUCAUUAUUAGUUUUUGAACAAGUGUAUAUGUAAUGUGGGAGUUGUGUAUACAUUUGUAGUGUUUGAAGUGUUAAUGUGUAGUGGAAUUGUAUAUGAAAAUUUAGAGAUUUGAUGAGAGAAAUGUCAAUAUAAGUGAAUGUUUUCCAGAGGAUGCGAUUGAGUUUGGUUGAGGCAUCGAGUGUAUGGAGUUAUUAUUGAAAGGCGUGUAUUAACAUUUGUUUUAAAUAUUUAAAAUUUUUUAUUUUAAUAUUUUUUAUUAAUAAAAAUUCAUAUUUUUUCAGGUUGGAGGUUGUGGGGUGACUGAGUUUGGUAGAGGCAGCGAGUAGGAGGAAUUAAUGUUGAAAGGUAUGUGAAGGCGACGACUAAUUGGCGGCUGAUUAAAAUAAUGAUUUUUGUGUCGAGGCAUUGAGUGUUUACCUGGAGAGAGUUUGGGGGGUCAACGACCCCGCGGCCCGGUCUGUGACCAGGCCUCGUGGUGGAUGAGCGCCUGAUGAACCAGGCUGUUACUGCUGGCUGCACGCAAACCAACGAGGAGAGUUUUUGAUAUGGUGAUUGAUUGUUAGUGAUUAGGAGAGGCGGAGAUAAUGUAGGAGCUAAUAAUGAAAAGUUGUUGGAAGUGUCUGUGGCGGUGGCAUCAACAGUGACAUUGGUCAAUUUGAUGUAGAUUAUGUUAGAGGGAGGGAGUUAAUCAAUUGUUUGACUAUUUUAAGAUAAUUAGUUAUUGAAUCUCAAGUGAGGAAUAGGUUUUGGUGAAUUGUGGACCGAGCAUUGUAAAAGCCAUAUUGACUUUGAUCACUGAAAGAGUGAAGAUACUGCUGGUGUCCAGACCAAGUUUAGACUAAUAACUACAAACAUAGUUAAUAAUGAAGGUCGCAUCCCAGACUUUUCAUUGUUAAUAUUACUUCAAGUGUAUAUAUAAUGUGGGAGUUUAUAUAUGUUUGUGGUGUUUGAGUUAUUACGUUGAGACUUGUGUUUUGGAAAUACCGGGUAUUGAUGUACUCUGGAUGGGUUGAUUUGUCGCUGUGAAAUGGUUAGUAACAUUAUUUGUGAAACAUGAUACCAAUAAAUAGAUUAGUUAUGGUUUAUUAUAAUGAAGAGGAAGUGGUAAGAUUAUAGAGUUUGUGGGAAGUUGAGCGUAGACUGAAAUUCCUAAAUGAAGAAACUUUAUAUGAUGGGUAUAUAUGAUUUAUUAUAAUGAAAAUUGAUAAUAAAAAGUGUAUAUAUUUUAUCUUUAAUUGGAAUUUUUUGAGAUUAUAAAAAAGUAAAAUAUUGGUUUAAAGUAUUUUAUUGUGGAAAUUGAGAUAUGAAAAUUGUUAAAAUAGUUUUUUACUGAAAGUUUAAAUAAAAAGAAAAAUUAUGAAAAUGUUUAUUUAUUAAAUAUGAAAAGAAAUUGAUUAGCAUUACUUAAAUUUGGAAAAAAUAUGAAAAUAAAUUUUUUUUUUUUUAGAAAUAUAAUUAAUAGUUAAAUUGUUUAAUAAUGAUUUUAUUUGAAAAAUAUUUUAGUACAAAUUGUCGUAUUCUGUUAAAAGUAAUCAAUCAUAUUAUGAGAAUAAUGAAAAGAAAAUGGCAAAUAUCAUUUUUGAAUAGAGAAAUUAAUUUAGAUUAGGUGCAGUAUUAGCAAUGGUAAAUUCAAAGUUAGUAUUAGAGACCAAAAGUGAUUUAGUAGUAAUGAGGCAAAAGCUGAUGAUAUUGAAAUGAUAU
Molecule: non-coding RNA, 3579 nt
Organism: Cherax quadricarinatus
Lineage: Eukaryota; Metazoa; Arthropoda; Malacostraca; Decapoda; Parastacidae
Source: RefSeq, a predicted model, not a curated record